This 398-nucleotide ribosomal RNA is filed under the name uncultured bacterium. Its description in RNAcentral is "bacterial SSU rRNA". It matches the Rfam family "Bacterial small subunit ribosomal RNA", at positions 490 to 890 of the family's 1533-position model. The record is from RNAcentral.
GGAUCGGCUAACUCCGUGCCAGCAGCCGCGGUAAUACGGAGGAUCCAAGCGUUAUCCGGAUUUAUUGGGUUUAAAGGGUGCGUAGGCGGGCCCUUAAGUCAGUGGUGAAAGUUUGCAGCUUAACUGUAAAAUUGCCAUUGAAACUGAGGGUCUUGAGUGUAAAUAAGGUAGGCGGAAUGUGUUGUGUAGCGGUGAAAUGCUUAGAUAUAACACAGAACACCAAUUGCGAAGGCAGCUUACUGGGAUACAACUGACGCUGAGGCACGAAAGCGUGGGGAUCAAACAGGAUUAGAUACCCUGGUAGUCCACGCAGUAAACGAUGAAUACUAGCUGUAUGCGAUAUACUGUAUGUGGCACAGCGAAAGCGUUAAGUAUUCCACCUGGGGAGUACGUUCGCA